Molecule: non-coding RNA, 25 nt
Filed under: Rattus norvegicus (Norway rat)
Lineage: Eukaryota; Metazoa; Chordata; Mammalia; Rodentia; Muridae
Source: RNAcentral
UAAUAAAAUGAGGAAUGCCAGAGGU